AGCGGAGGGAUCAUUGCUGGAACGCGCUUCGGCGCACCCAGAAACCCUUUGUGAACUUAUACCUAUUGUUGCCUCGGCGCAGGCCGGCCUCUUCACUGAGGCCCCCUGGAAACAGGGAGCAGCCCGCCGGCGGCCAACCAAACUCUUGUUUCUACAGUGAAUCUCUGAGUAAAAAACAUAAAUGAAUCAAAACUUUCAACAACGGAUCUCUUGGUUCUGGCAUCGAUGAAGAACGCAGCGAAAUGCGAUAAGUAAUGUGAAUUGCAGAAUUCAGUGAAUCAUCGAAUCUUUGAACGCACAUUGCGCCCUCUGGUAUUCCGGAGGGCAUGCCUGUUCGAGCGUCAUUUCAACCCUCAAGCCUGGCUUGGUGAUGGGGCACUGCCUGUAAUAGGGCAGGCCCUGAAAUCUAGUGGCGAGCUCGCCAGGACCCCGAGCGUAGUAGUUAUAUCUCGCUCUGGAAGGCCCUGGCGGUGCCCUGCCGUUAAACCCCCAACUUCUGAAAAUUUGACCUCGGAUCAGGUAGGAAUACCCGCUGAACUUAAGCAUAU
This 548-nucleotide ribosomal RNA is filed under the name Diaporthe masirevicii. RNAcentral's name for it is "eukaryotic LSU rRNA". The stretch from base 191 to 344 matches the Rfam family "5.8S ribosomal RNA". Lineage: Eukaryota; Fungi; Ascomycota; Sordariomycetes; Diaporthales; Diaporthaceae. The record is from RNAcentral.